AUAAAACCGGGAGUUAGAAUAGAGCAGUACAGGGUAAGUGAUUCAGCAGAGUAAAAGUGAGGAUUUCUUAAGUCAGGAAAUUCCUAUAAACUUUAGUAGACAGUACUUCAGUUUAAACAAGUUUCAGAAGAGUAUUCUGUUACUUCUGCUUUUAUUUCUUUUGAGUUCACGUACCAAGCUCGUGUUUUAUUUUAAGCAGCGUAGGUCUGUCACUUCACGUAGUCACUCAGUGCAAGUUAUUUUCUUUAGGCAUUGUUAUAUACAGUCUUGUUAAAACAACAUAUUGUAUUGCAAAGUUUAAGUUUAUGCACCGUUAAUACGUGCUCGAAAUGAAAGUAAAGAGACAGUGACUAGAUCGUAAAAUAAACGAAGCAAUUGAGAGGCAGCUGGACAGUGUUUCAGAAGGACCACGUUUAGAUAGAGAGAGCGAGGUAGACUGCAGCGACAGAGGUUUGCCGUGAUCCAGAGACUGCAAGUAACCGAGAGCUACAACUGGGAGAAGCCUUUCAGAAUUGUUGAUCCAGUUAACUUGACUCUGCAACAGAAUGGACUGCUGCUUAUGGCAUGGAAAUUGAAGCAUAGACUUAGCAAUGAAGCCACCUCGGACAUACUGGACAUUAUUAAUUCAAUAGCUGCAGGUACCUGGGCCUGGGCUUUUGGGCUGACCCCCUGUUGGACAGUGACCAGUGGGACAGCAUUUGGGAUGGGCAGAAGAUGGCCCCAGGUUUCGAUGGGGCCUGUCUGUGUGGGGCUAAUUUUAUAGUGAAGAGGACAAGGGCCAUUUAUGGCCUGGAGUGAUACUACAAGCUGGGACACAAGGAAUACAAGGUUGUUUCUUUCUGUGCUACGGCCUCUCUUCUCAUGGUCGAGAAGCACCGGGAGCCUCCCUGACUAUUUGCACAAUUGAACUUGUUUUUAGAUACUGUUAACCUAAUUCAAUUGUUUAAGUAGGACUUGUUGUUUUAGAGAGAUGUCAUAUUUCUAGGUUUAGUUGGGAUUGUAUUUUUUUUUUUUGUAUAAACUGUUAUUUGGAUAAAGAUUAUUGUAGCCAUUCAUUGCAAUAA
Acipenser ruthenus (sterlet) is the source of this 1064-nucleotide long non-coding RNA. RefSeq lists it as uncharacterized. The transcript is spliced from 3 exons. The record is from RefSeq and is a predicted model, not a curated record. Lineage: Eukaryota; Metazoa; Chordata; Actinopteri; Acipenseriformes; Acipenseridae.